AAAGUUGUAAUAAGGUCUUUGUUAGUGAACUAGUAGAGGGAUCAUUAUAGAGUUUAACAACUCCUAAACUACUGUAAAUAUACUUGUACUGUUGUCUUAGCAGGCGGCUCUAGGGCGGGGCUGCAGCCUUCCUAGCAGGGGUGCUUGCUGCAGGUUGCAAAACUAUAUUUAUAUUUAGUGGUAUCUUUGAGUAACUUCUAAACAAUUAAAACUUUCAACAAUGGAUCUCUUGGUUCUA
This 238-nucleotide unclassified non-coding RNA is filed under the name Ascomycota sp. Its description in RNAcentral is "partial contains small subunit ribosomal RNA, internal transcribed spacer 1, and 5.8S ribosomal RNA". The record is from RNAcentral. Lineage: Eukaryota; Fungi; Ascomycota.